AGAAUCAACGCUGGCGGCGUGCCUAACACAUGCAAGUCGCACGAGAAAGGGGAGCAAUCCCUGAGUAAAGUGGCGCACGGGUGAGUAACACGUGAAUCAUCUACCUCCGAGUGGGGAAUAACCUAGAGAAAUCUGGGCUAAUACCGCAUAACACUUACGAGUCAAAGCAGCAAUGCGCUUGGAGAGGAGUUCGCGGCCGAUUAGCUAGUUGGCGGGUAAUGGCCCACCAAGGCGAUGAUCGGUA
This 244-nucleotide ribosomal RNA is filed under the name uncultured bacterium. RNAcentral describes it as "partial small subunit ribosomal RNA". It matches the Rfam family "Bacterial small subunit ribosomal RNA", at positions 26 to 285 of the family's 1533-position model. The record is from RNAcentral.